This 1202-nucleotide long non-coding RNA is filed under the name Heterocephalus glaber (naked mole-rat). RNAcentral describes it as "lncRNA (ENSHGLG00100044555.1)". Lineage: Eukaryota; Metazoa; Chordata; Mammalia; Rodentia; Bathyergidae. The record is from RNAcentral.
GGUGACGGCGAGCGCGUGGACCGAGGCGGCCCCAGCUAGCUGGCCAUGAACUCGAAGCAAUCCUCCUGCCUCAGCCUCCUGAGUGAUGGGAUUACAGGCGUGCUCACCAUGCUAGGCUCAGCAUCAAAGAAUUCUUCCACGAAGCUUUCCGUGUUGAGAUUUUUCCCUCCUGGAAAGGGAAUUCUGCCUUGUGAGACAGUUCUUUCCGAUCUUCUCCAGAAGGCUGAUGUUGGUAUUCAUACCAAAUUUAUUUAUGUGUGUAUUUACAGUACUGGGGAUUGAACCCAAGACCAUCACAUUGAGACAGUAUGAAACUUUUUUUUUUGAGACAGUAUGAAACCAUUCUUGCAGUUCAUAGCCUGGAAGGUGCUUUUCCUCUUACCAGAUUGUUUAAAAUAAUAGCUUUAUAUUCUCUCAAGAUAUAUAUAUAUAUUUCCGUAAAAUUUAUGAUUUUUAAAAUGUGCAAUUCAGUAGUCUUAGGAUUCAGAGAAUUGUACAGCUGUCACCUUCACUGCAAUCUAAUUUUAGAAUAUUCAGCCCCCAAAUAAACAAUCUAUUACCAGUCACUCCCCAUGUUCCCCUUCCCACAGCCCCCAGCUCUGCAAAUUUGCCUGUUCUAGAUGUUUCAUGCUAGCAAUCUCACCGGUGGUCUUUUUUGUACCUGGAAUCUUCACUCAGCAUACUACUUGGGAGGCUCCUUCACUGGAGAAUGUAUCAGCACUUACACCUUUUUCAUGGCCAAGUAAUGUUCUAUGGUGUGGGUAGACCAGGUUCUGUUGAUCAGCCGCCUGUGGGUGGACAUUUGGGUGGAGUCCACUUCUUGGCAGUUACAUGGCUGAAUAACACCAAGUGUAAGCAUUCGUGCACAAACUUUUCCAUGAACUAUGCUAAGGAGUGGAAGUGCAGGGUCCUAUGGUAGUUCAGUGUAUUGCAUUUUGAGCACUUGCCUGACUGCUCUCCACUGCUGUCUGAUUCAAGGGUGAAAGAACUGGGCUCAGCUCACAGUGUGCAAAGUUGCAGAGUGAAAGGACGCUCCUCUCACAUGCACUUGGGUUGGAGCACCAUUAUCCCUCGGUAUCCUCGGGGGACUUGGUUCCAGGACCCACCCCUGGUCCCCAGGUGUGAGGGUGUUCUCGUCCCUGUGUAAAAGGCACAGCAUUUGCACACAACCUCGUCUUCCUGCAUGCUUGACAUCGUCUCAG